This 497-nucleotide ribosomal RNA is filed under the name uncultured bacterium. Its description in RNAcentral is "partial 16S ribosomal RNA". It matches the Rfam family "Bacterial small subunit ribosomal RNA", at positions 28 to 507 of the family's 1533-position model. The record is from RNAcentral.
GAUGAACGCUGGCGGCGUGCCUAAUACAUGCAAGUCGAGCGAACAGACGAGGAGCUUGCUCCUCUGACGUUAGCGGCGGACGGGUGAGUAACACGUGGAUAACCUACCUAUAAGACUGGGAUAACUUCGGGAAACCGGAGCUAAUACCGGAUAAUAUAUUGAACCGCAUGGUUCAAUAGUGAAAGACGGUUUUGCUGUCACUUAUAGAUGGAUCCGCGCCGCAUUAGCUAGUUGGUAAGGUAACGGCUUACCAAGGCAACGAUGCGUAGCCGACCUGAGAGGGGGAUCGGCCACACUGGAACUGAGACACGGUCCAGACUACUACGGGAGGCAGCAGUAGGGAAUCUGCCGCAAUGGGCGAAAGCCUGACGGAGCAACGCCGCGUGAAUGAUGAAGGUCUUCGGAUCGUAAAACUCUGUUAUUAGGGAAGAACAAAUGUGUAAGUAACUAUGCACGUCUUGACGGUACCUAAUCAGAAAGCCACGGCUAACUACGUG